UUGGUAGGUGGUCUUGUUUGUCUAAGGUGAAAUCCCAUGGCUUAACUGUGGAAGUGCCUUAGAAACGGCAAGACUAGAGUCCUAGAGGGGUUUGUGGAAUUCCCGGUGUAGCGGUGAAAUGCGUAGAGAUCGGGAGGAACACCAGCGGCGAAGGCGGCAAACUGGAUAGGAACUGACACUCAACAACGAAAGCGUGGGGAGCAAACA
RNAcentral lists this ribosomal RNA (207 nucleotides) under uncultured bacterium. Its description in RNAcentral is "partial 16S ribosomal RNA". It matches the Rfam family "Bacterial small subunit ribosomal RNA", at positions 568 to 774 of the family's 1533-position model. The record is from RNAcentral.